AGACAAUCCAAUAUGUAAAGUAUUAGUAAAAAAGGAUGAAGAAAGCUCUCUUCAAUAACAAGAGAAGUAAAGAUAAGGAUUGAAAAGUUGCGAGAUCAAUAACUGGGGGAAGAUCAAAUCAAGAAGGAUGCAUGGUAGAGACGUCAACCAGGAAGGAGUUGGCAACAACAAGGAGCUCACCACCAACACAACCACAAUCAAUCGGAGGACAAAAUAAAUGCCGCAAUAAUAAUUAGUGGCAUGUGUGUGGUAAAAGAGGCCACUUUGCUCGUGCUUGUCGGCAUAGAAGGGCAAAAGGGAACAUUGCG
RNAcentral lists this unclassified non-coding RNA (308 nucleotides) under Hevea brasiliensis (rubber tree). Lineage: Eukaryota; Viridiplantae; Streptophyta; Magnoliopsida; Malpighiales; Euphorbiaceae. The record is from RNAcentral.